UAAGUCCUAUGGGCGAUUAACCCACAUCUUCCAGAUGCAACCUGGACACUUUUAUUAAGCUAAAGCCUCCC
RNAcentral lists this transfer RNA (71 nucleotides) under Anolis milleri (Miller's anole). RNAcentral's name for it is "tRNA-Ala". Lineage: Eukaryota; Metazoa; Chordata; Lepidosauria; Squamata; Anolidae. The record is from RNAcentral.